Drosophila virilis is the source of this 7654-nucleotide non-coding RNA. NCBI's taxonomy places the organism in Eukaryota, Metazoa, Arthropoda, Insecta, Diptera, Drosophilidae. The record is from RefSeq and is a predicted model, not a curated record.
UAUAUGCGAACGGUAGCACACGAGAUUCAAAGUUGAAAAAUGAAAAUGGCUAAUUAAGAGUUUCAGCUGUAUAAGCAAAGUGCCCCAGUACUACAUAUUCAGGUGAGGAUUAUUAAUUUUAUGUGCUCACUAUGUGGGAAGUCGGCCAAAGUGCGAGCACAGUGGAACAAAAUAAACAUAGAAUGGUGAAAUGUGAAUAAGUGGAAUGCCAAUGCUGUAAAAGAUUUUGCCUGGAAACAUUUGCCGCCAGUUUCUUUUUGGUUGCUAUUUUUCAUUUUUUUUUUUUCAUUUUUGAAAAUAAACAAAUCGGACCGGUACUGGGACUGGGUCUGAUAUUUUAUUUGAAUUUGAUGGGGCGCAUGGUUUGUGUCUGCUGUUCAAAAUUUUCCUAUGCACCCAUGAGCUGCUCAAUUAAUUAAGUAUCGAUGAUAUCAGGUGCCCAAGCGCAAGCCCAACAUCGAUUAUCAAAGAUCACAAUGAUAAUCGGCAAGUUUCAUGAUAUGCUGCAGCAGCUGUCAGAAACGAGUCCCGAGUCAGGGAAAGAGACGACUUUAUGCACAUUGUAGCUGCUGUUGCUGUCACUUGACAUUAAGCGAUGCCCCAUUACCAUCCCGAUUCUUUGACACUGCACUUUGAGGAUGUCGAACUUGGCGCCGAAGGCAUUUUAGUUGCGGCUUUAAGGGGCGCCACAUCAAUCAUCGCAUUAAAGGCAGAUUCCAAAUUAAAAGCAAUUUCUGGUUAACGGAAUGAAGCAUCGAUUUCAAGCUUCGAAAACAUAUGCAUCACUGUGGGAACUCUUGAGAAAUCGGUUGAAAAGCAUUCCCAGCGGUCAUUUUCUAAGAAAUACAUGCAUAUAUUUAUAUAAUUAUAUUAUUCUGAUUCCUUAGUAAAAAUGUUGUAUUAAAUUCGUUUCCGGCGAAGCGGGACCUCAAUUGAAACUGUGAAGCCAAAUGCAAGAGAAGAAAAAAAAAUGCUUUUUGAAAUUUGAACUCGACCGAGGUUAUAAGACGACUAACUCGUUUGCUGCAACCCCCGAAGCGCCCAUUCGAUCUAUUCCGAGUCUGACCAGAAAGUGCAUUGAAUAUAACAAGCUGCGGACUGAUAUUCGCAUGCGGAAAAGCAUUCGCGAGACCUUCACAUGGUUUCAUUUAUUCUAAUAAUUGUCUUUUGUUUUUUAUGUGCAACAUUUAUUUUCAAGCACACUUUGGCUCUGGCCCGGGUGAGUCUGGCACUCUGUCAAUUAACCUCAAAGCUUUGCGUUGAUAAUAUAAGUUAUGGCUUUUUAAUCGCUAAAAAUUUGCAUGAACCAUAUGCUCACUGCGCGCAUGUGCGAGUGUGUUUGUGUGUGUGUGAGUAUUGCACUCGAACUUGUGCUCAUAUUUCAGUCUGUCUGUCGCCGUCAUUAGCUAGCCCUCUCUUAAGUUGCGGGGUGGUGCGAGGAGCAGUUGUUUUCCAUGACUUGAAGUGCAAGUUUAAAUUGAAGUGGAAGUCGAUGCCUUAAUUAUACCCUUGCCCGGGUAAUGCGACUUUCUUAUCAAGUGUGUAACGUGUCUCCUUCGAUAGAUAACUAUGCUGCGUUGUGAGUCAGUUUCGGUGCAAAAGAAUCUCAUGGAUUUGAAGCUAUCAAGAUUAAACCAUUCAGUUCAUUUGUCGAAUAUCGAUUAGGGUUCAGAGAUAAUUUGUCUCAAAAGGAGUUCUUCUAGUUCAUGUGCAAGGGUAUUUAACAUUCGGCCUUGCAAAGGCUACUGCUAUUUCUUGUUCAUUCAGAAAACAACGGCGCAAGAAACUGCGAAUUGUUCUGGGUGCUGCGUACUCGUAUAAAUAAUUCAUUAGGGCGCUACGAGUCCGCUUUGUAAUUCUCUGACUGUCUGUCUGGCUGUAUGUCUGUCUGUCUGUCUGUCUGUCUGUCUGUCCGUCUGUCCGUCUGUCUGUCCGUCUAUCUGUCAGAUACGUCAAGCCCAAUUGGCUGUGGCUUGCCGGCUGAUGCACGUCAGUGACCUGCGAGACAACUGCAGUCGGCGUUAUAAAUUUGGUGAAUUUGAUUUUUGUCUUUGUCUCGUUUUGCGUUUCACUGGUUUCUUCUUAUUGUACUCGAACGAACCGUCAAACGGGACACAUGAGUCCAACCACCAACCAGACUUAUGAAUACUCGUGCACCAGCACUUCACCAUACAAAUAUUUUGUGUACGUAUGUAUAUUUGAUGUCUAUAUACAUAUGUAUAUCAAUAAUUUUGGCAGGUCAGUGCACUUUGCGCAACGCGACAAUUAUUUAUUGUUUUAAAUUGGGAUUGGGAAUGUACGAAGUGUUGCCCAAUAUCAGGCGUAUAAUUAGACAAAGCGAGCAAUUAAAGCGCGCUCUAAUCACAUUAACCACGGCUCAUUUGGGUCGCCAUGCGAUACGCUUAGGUUCGAGAUCGAGUUCGUGAUCAUGCUCGGGGUCUCAUAUGUUGUAUUUGCUAUUUGCAUAGGCAAGAUCUGGCGUUGAAUUGUUGUUGUGGUUGUUGUUGUUUUAAUAUGGGUACCGUUGCCACCCAGAUCGGUCAGCAUCAUUAAUCUUAAUGAUACGAAAGUUGCGACUGAUUAAUUUGUUCGAUAAUUAAAAUUGAUUGGCCUCUGGCAGGCCGGAGAGAGAACAGUUCGCACUGGACGAGACGUUAUUCACAGUAUCACGCAUAAUAAAUGAUCUUCACAAAAGGCAAAAAAAAAAGGCAAGUGAAAACAAAAAACUGUAAUGAGAAACAACAAAUAAACGGAAGCAACAAAUGGUCAGGGAAGGAAGCUCAAGCUCAAUCUAAAUGAGUGCGGCGCAAUGAAUAAAAAAGGAAAACAAUCCAAAUAAAAACAACAAACCAAAAAUGAAAUUUAUGAAACACACCGCACAUUGCAUACCCUAAAACACGAUUCCAGGAAAUCCCAUGCAAAAAAAUCGAACCAUAUCUAACUUUAGCUUGUUGUGGGCGUCCGUCUUGUCACGAGCACGAGGCAAGCAUUCCGCCUGUUACAAACUGCAUGUCAUAGGUAAUAUGCACUUCCUCAAUGAGUUAACAUAAGAUGUGAACAUGAGCCGUUCAACUAAAACGGGUAGUACAAAUGUUAUAUAAAUGUUAUGAGAAUUUUUCGCGUGCUUAGCUGUCACGCAAUUUCCGGCACGUUUUUGCAUAUAUGAAAACAAAAGCGAAGACAACAAUAACAAAAAGCAUUGAGCGUGUUAUUAUGACAAGUAUAUUAACAGUUCAUUUGUUGUUAUUAUUUCCAGUCCAGGCAACAUUUUAUAUGUAAAAUAUUUUGUUGAGUCCAAAAGCUAGCCAGGAUCAAAGUAGGUUCUAAUAGCUAUACAGCUUUUUAUAUAUUUUCAAAAUUAUUAUUCCCUCCCACUUAAUUCUAACCAGACAUUGCUUGUUAUUUAUUUAUGGUUCAAAAAUUUGUCAGCAUAAGCUUCCUAAAUUUGAGUUGAUCUAUUUUUAUACUCUGAGUCCAUUAAAAACAGCAGAGAAGGGUAUGACGGUUUUGUGCAAUCGUUUGCUCCACGCCCAAAAAGCCAUCUCCGAAGCCACAAGGCAUCUGCGAAUUGUAAAAAAAAAGAAAAUGUGAAAAAUCUGAAAAUAAGUGCUCGUUAUAAGGCGCCAAGGGCGCCACGAUCUUGACCAUAGACGAAUCACAGAAUCGCGAUUGUUUGUUUACGUUGGACAGCAGCAUUGGACAUCCACCGAGACCCAGUGGGUCCCCAACGGUCCCAGUGCGCGUGCCGUGACAUAAUCCAAAUGCGUGUCUGUCCCUGAGCCUGGAACUGGCGCGUGUAGCUGUCGGCCAUAGAGGCUGGGAGGGUGUGCCGGCGUCUUGGCUCAUUGGACGCUGCGCCUCAGCGAAUGCUUCCUAUGAAUUUAUGGGUUCCCAUAAAAACGGAACGCCUGGGCGACUGGGCGUAUUUUCCGAAUACUUGCCGACAUCUAAUUUUGUCGAUUGUUGUUGUUGUUGUUGUUGUUGUUGUUGUUAUUUGGCGUUAAUUGCCAAACGGCUGUGACAAGUCUCGUGCCGCAGCCAGGCCUCGUCGCCGCACCCCCAACCGCAAAUAUCGAAGAAAGAACAGCUAAAGUCCGAAUGUGGUAUGUGAUGUGGGUGCGUUGAUCUCAGCAUUUAUUUGAGAGUCUGUGAGUUCAUCUAGAUCUUCUAGGAAGUCUUUAUGCAAUUUAUUAUGCAAACGGUCUGGCCAUAAUUCUCACCCAUUAUUAUUUCAACUUUAAUUAAUUCAAAUUUAUGUCAUUUUCCAUUGAAUGUGUGUCAUACGUAUGGUUAUUUAAUUUAUGGGAUGUUUCACAAGUAGAACGGGUUUUGUGCAUUUUACGGAAAUUUUUGAUGAUAUUCAGAUUUUUAAAACUGAUCAAGAAUAACCUAAAAAAUGUACUUUCCAUUCGAUUGUGCGCUCGAACCGGUCCCUUGUGCUGAUGAACGCUCCAAAUAAGAUUUGAGCAACAAUAACAACAAUAUCAUCAAAGUUGAGGCUCAUUUUUACGAUUUCCUAAUUAUGAGCAUAAUAAAAUCAUAAUUAAACAAUAAAAACAAGUUGCUUUAAUGCCAAACCACUUGCACACAAUUUCAAAACAAGGCAAUAAUUUCUAUGCUGCGCACUCGGGAGCAUAAAUUUUAUAACACAUUUUACAAGACAUUAAAAUUUAGCGGCUGGCAAAUUUUAUUGCACGCCAAUUGAGGUCACCGAAUAGGAAAAUGAAAAAAAAAAAAAAACGACUUGCAAACGCAGCCAAGAGAAGGCGAUUUUCCAUUAACGCCAUGUCCAUAUAUAUCCAGAGGCUGCUCAUCCAAAGUCAGACGCUUAAAGAAAAUACCCUAUAUGGACUUGGCACUUUAAUUACCUCAACAACAGCUGUUGCCUGUGCUGGCUUUAGCCUAGUGGCGGACAUCUUGAGGUUUACCGAUCACUGAUCACUGAUCACUUUGUUUUUCUUCUCAUUUACUGUUAGCUGUUGGGCUAUUUGCACUGCAUGUUUCACUGUAAUCUCCGGCAAUGAUUAUGAUUAAACACUCGAUAGCUGCGCAGACGCAACGCCAACAUGCAAUUCGCGCUUGGCCGCAAUGCAAACAAUGCCCGGAGCCAACACAGCAGCACUCUGCACGCCAGCAAUAUACACGGCAGCAACCAACGCGCCCGACAGCAACACACGCAAUUCAAUCGCGGUCCAGAAAGGACAGAGAGAAAGGGGCACACGAGAUGCUGUUGCUGUGCUUGAACCCUCGCCAAGUUCACUAAACUGUUUCACUGGUACCGAAUGCUGGCCAGGCACAACUGGGGACAACGCCUGCGCAUGCGCCGCUGCCAAUUUGCAAUUUGUAAGACGUUUAAGCUGUGCUUUGGCAAUUUGCGAGCCAAGCCUUGGCGCAGUUGGUUUACGGGCAAUGCCAAUGAAUCCUUCCUUUAUUUAUCUGCUGUUCUUCUCUUUUCUUUUUGUUUUGCUAUCCGCGUGGGUGUGUUCAUGUAUCCUUGUGUGUGCGUAUUGUCGCGCACUCGCAUCGACCGUAUGUAGCAAGAGGCUCUACAUGCCGCGAGUAACUGAAUUAUCACUUGAUCACACUUCCCAUGCGCAGCCUAACACAGGCUUAAGAAGAAAACGUUUAUGCCACACGACUGCAAGAACACAAAUGUUGCAAGUGUUUGGCCGCAAAUGGCAACGACAACGACAACGACAACAGCAACAGCAACAUUAACAGCAAGAGCAACAGCAACACUAAAGAAAAGAAAGGGCGCAGCCUCGGUCUCUGCUCUCGAUUAGUUGGCCUGCGCGUUGGCGUUGCUAUCUUGACUGCUUAAGGCAGAUAAAUUGUCUCUCAGCCAAUGCCGUUGGUGCUGCUGCCGCUGCUGCUGCUGAUGCUGAUGCUGCUGAUGCUGAUGCUGCUGAUGGUGAUGCUGCCUCAGUCGAGCAUCUGACGCCUGUCGCGCUUGUUUUGGCACUCAGCAGCAAUCAUUUUAGUUGUUGCUUUUUUAUGUAAAACGAACAUUUGCUAAUGAAUUAUUAUUACAAUUUAAUGAAAAAUGAGUUUGGGCAACUUUAGCUGUAUCUGUAGAUGUAGCUAUCCAUCUUUCAACGGAUUGGGCAACUCUCGUAAACAAACGCCGAUGGUUGUGUGUCUCUUGGUGCUCUUGCAGCUGAUCUUAAUUACAACAACUGUUCGCAUACGACUGAAAAAAAAUAUAAAUAUAUAAGAAACAAAUAAAACUGAUCACGUAUACCCUCCAUCAAAUUGAAGGUUAGGUGGCGAUCUUAAGGGCAUGCAGAACGGGGAGCCCGCUAAACGGGAUUCUCGAUCUUUGCUUAUUUUAAGAAUUUCUUUGAUAUGCAAACGAGCUAUUUAGUGCCAGAUUAAACCCUUCUUAUAAAAAGGGCACACAUGGAUACUUAUUAACGCUUCAUUAAGUUCUUGUAGCGCCCACCAACAAAACUAAGGCGACAGCCAAGAAUUGGUAGAAGCAGAAAACGAAAAGAAAGAGACGUAAAUAUUCUGGCAAAAGUAUCGUAUGUAAAACUGGUUUUCGUUCCCCCUCGUUUUGUUGAAGAGCUCUACGAUAAGAUUUGGGCUUGGAUCGCACAUGCCGGCCAGCAAUCACAGCAGAUAAGAUCUAAGUUAAUUGAGCCGGUCAAGUGUGCCCUACACGCACAUAUUUUGGACAUAUAUGAGCCGGAACUGCUCGGGCUGAGUUGCCAAAAAGAACGAGUGAUUAAAUUGAAAUUGAUAAUUAGAUAAACAAUUGGUACAUUAAAUUUAAGUAGCGAAAGGAUCGGAUAAGCGUAAUUAACUAAUAAUGAGAUCAUUUAAAUACUCAUUAAAAUACAGCGAAAAACAAAACCGAUUUAACUUAUACUCUUGACGUGCAGGGUAUCUGGAGACUGGCAUUUCGGCAGAUAUACGAAAAGCAAAGUUGCUGAUGAAUAUCUCGAUAAUAUUUCUCAUGAUUGAGGCCCAAAAGAAAUCAACAACAUUAUAAACCAUCAAAAUUAAUACAUUUUUCGUAUUAUUUUAUUACGCACCAAAAACAAAAAGCAGGCACACAAAAACAAUGCCAAUACCCCUUAAGCGUGCCCUCCAUCCUCAACACCCCCUUCCCAACCCGGCAAUACAGAAAAUAAAAAUUAAAUGAAAUGAAACGAAACAAAGACAAAGUUCAUGGCAAUGCGAGUGGCUCAUAUAAAGCCGAGUCUUGGGCCGGUUGGUCGCUCGCCUGGGCGCUUUUCAAUCCAUCAAAAGAGAUUAUAUUCAUUAACUAGGCAGGCAGCCAGCAACAAGACUCGGACUCGGACUCUGACUCGGAUUGGAAUUGAAGCUGCGACUGGAACUGGAACUGGGACUGGGACUGGGACCGGGACCGGGCAUGCUCGGGCGUUGAUUUUGAUGGCCACUGUACUGCUGGAAUUUCUUAAUUUUUUUGACAGUUCUCAUCAAAAUGUGUUGAAAUUGCUAUUAUUAUGAGGUUGUUGUUGUUGUUGUUGUUGUUUUUGCUUCUAUUGUUAUUGGGCGCAAAUUUACAAGAAUCAUCUAGCAGAUCGCAUCUAGUGGCAGCAUGACGUACCACAAUUCCGUAUGUUUAAGAUCUGUGAACUCCAUUAAAAAACCGUUUCAUAUCUUUGGCAAUUUGACGCCAUCAAAA